This 468-nucleotide ribosomal RNA is filed under the name uncultured bacterium. Its description in RNAcentral is "partial 16S ribosomal RNA". It matches the Rfam family "Bacterial small subunit ribosomal RNA", at positions 28 to 507 of the family's 1533-position model. The record is from RNAcentral.
GACGAACGCUGGCGGCGUGCUUAACACAUGCAAGUCGAACGGAAAGGCCCUGCUUUUGUGGGGUGCUCGAGUGGCGAACGGGUGAGUAACACGUGAGUAACCUGCCCUUGACUUUGGGAUAACUUCAGGAAACUGGGGCUAAUACCGGAUAGGAGCUCCUGCUGCAUGUUGGGGGUUGGAAAGUUUCGGCGGUUGGGGAUGGACUCGCGGCUUAUCAGCUUGUUGGUGGGGUAGUGGCUUACCAAGGCUUUGACGGGUAGCCGGCCUGAGAGGGUGACCGGCCAAAUUGGGACUGAGAUACGGCCCAGACUCCUACGGGAGGCAGCAGUGGGGAAUAUUGCACAAUGGGCGGAAGCCUGAUGCAGCAACGCCGCGUGCGGGAUGACGGCCUUCGGGUUGUAAACCGCUUUCGCCUGUGACGAAGCGUGAGUGACGGUAAUGGGUAAAGAAGCACCGGCUAACUACGUG